Molecule: ribosomal RNA, 440 nt
Filed under: uncultured bacterium
Lineage: Bacteria
Description: partial 16S ribosomal RNA
Rfam family: Bacterial small subunit ribosomal RNA
Source: RNAcentral
CCUACGGGCGGCAGCGGGGAAUAUUAGGCAAUGGAGGCAACUCUGACCCAGCAGUGACGCGUGAGUGAUGAAGGUAAUUUUAUUGUAAAGCUCUUUUCUUUGGAACGAAGAAAAGACGGUACCAAAGGAAUAAGCCCAGGCUAACUACGUGCUAGCAGCCGCGGUAAUACGUAGGGGGCAAGCGUUGUUCUGAAUGACUGGGCGUAACGGGUGUGUAGGGGGUGUGAUAAGUUAGAUGUGUAAUACCCAGGGCUUAACUCGCGUGCUGCAUCUAAAACUGUUAGACUUGAGUACUGGAGAGGAUAGUGGAAUGCCUAGUGUAGCGGUGGAAUGCGUAGAUAUUAGGAAGAACAUCAGUGGCGAAGGCGACUAUCUGGACAGCAACUGACGCUGAGGCACGAAAGCGUGGGGAGCAAACAGGAUUAGAUACCCUUGUAGUC